RNAcentral lists this long non-coding RNA (1556 nucleotides) under Erythranthe guttata (spotted monkey flower). RNAcentral describes it as "long non-coding RNA (EGUT_LNC003112)". The record is from RNAcentral. Lineage: Eukaryota; Viridiplantae; Streptophyta; Magnoliopsida; Lamiales; Phrymaceae.
ACUCAUGUAAGUAACCACUACUGGUUAAAUUAAUAAAAAACUUAAAAAAGUGAAGUGAAUGGUUUAGUACCGAGUUCAAGGCGGUGGGAGGAACAACGACGGCCGUCACAAGGCCGUGGCGGAGCAGCGACGCAAGGCGGCGGCGGAGCAGCGACGGCGGCAGCGCAAGGAGGUGAGGGGAGCGACGGCGGUGGCGCCGCAAGGAGGUUGGGAGCAGCGGCGACAACGCAAGGAGGUGAGGGGAGCAACAGCGGCGGAGAGCUGUGGGUAGAUAGAGAGUUAGAGAGAAAGAGAUGAAGAAAGAGAAAGAAAGAAAGAGAAGAGAGAGAGAGAAAACAGUUCAUCAAGCACUUCAUUUUAUUACACGAAAAAAAUACCUAAACAAUUGCGUAAAUCAUCAAUUCUAAUUUUUUCACAUAGUUCAAACUUAUUACAAGUGCCCAACAUCAAUCCAUGAAACAAUAAAAAAAAUACAACAAAUUACCUCAUACAGAUUAGAGACUCAUGCGGCGGAAUACAUCGAAAUAUUGAUUAUGUUCAUCGAUUGAGGCCGGAAUACAGAUCCUAUUCAUCGGCAAUACAAAUCGUCAUCGAAAUACGGAUCCCGUACAACGGCAAUAAAUUUGUAUAUAUUUACUUUUUAAAAAUCAAGUUCAAUUAAAUAUUUACAUUAUAAAUUAACUCAUAACCAACAAAUCAUAACCAACAAAUACAGAGAAAAUACACAAUUACGUGCAUAUGUUACUACAUGUCCCUACAUGUGAUUAUAUAUGACUAUAGUUAAAUCUUCAUAUAUAUUCAAAAUAUACAGAACCAUACACGAGACACCUCUACCAUUAGGUAUGAUAUGGUAUCAUUUAUACCACCCAAAAUCUCGAAAAAGAGUAGCAGCUGGAUUGUUGUAAGCCAUACAGGUUUCCAAAAAAACAAAUAGUAAACCAGUAGAUAAAUGAAAUUAAAAAAGUAAACCAGAAGAGAAAUAGAAAAAAAAAUCAAUUUCCACAAUGUUUAAAAUGUCACAUCAUAAUAACAAAACAAAAGCAUAUAUAUAUAAAGUAUGUAUACAUUAAAAAACAAUUGGUAAAAACACAAAUCUGAAAAAUCAUUUGAAGAUCUUCGAUCUGUUGAAGAACAAAAAAUAAACAUAAAAAAAUAAAAAAGUAAAACGUACUGUGGUCCUCAAAAUUAGACAAGAACACCCCCGAUCUUGGCCGAUCUAUCGUCUUCCCAUCCUUGACUGGUCUCAAAAUCUCACGGCGGCGGCGACGCUUCCCCUUCUCCGGCUUGGGCUAGCUUAACAUCUCUCGGCGGCGGCAGCGGUGGCUUAACAUCUCUCGGCAGCGGCAGCGGCGGCCUCCCGGUUUGAAGCGGAUCAAUCGAAAAAAUAUGGUGGACGGUUGUGGUGUGGAUGGAAGAGAGAGAACUAGGGUUUGGAUGUACAACGAGAAAAGAAAGAAAGGAGAUAACGGCAUAUGGAGAGUGAGACGAGAAACGACGUGGCUUUACCUUAUUUCACAAAAAUUGCUAAUUAAGGGUAAAAAAGUCACAUCACUAUG